This 251-nucleotide ribosomal RNA is filed under the name uncultured bacterium. Its description in RNAcentral is "partial 16S ribosomal RNA". It matches the Rfam family "Archaeal small subunit ribosomal RNA", at positions 474 to 724 of the family's 1478-position model. The record is from RNAcentral.
UACCAGCACCCCGAGUGGUUGGGACGUUUAUUGGGCCUAAAGCAUCCGUAGCCGGUUCUACAAGUCUUCCGUUAAAUCCAGCUGCUUAACAGAUGGGCUGCGGAAGAUACUAUGGAGCUAGGAGGCGGGAGAGGCAAGCGGUACUCGAUGGGUAGGGGUAAAAUCCGUUGAUCCAUUGAAGACCACCAGUGGCGAAGGCGGCUUGCCAGAACGCGCUCGACGGUGAGGGAUGAAAGCUGGGGGGAGCAAAC